Molecule: long non-coding RNA, 679 nt
Filed under: Mus spretus (western wild mouse)
Lineage: Eukaryota; Metazoa; Chordata; Mammalia; Rodentia; Muridae
Description: lncRNA (ENSMSPG00010016838.1)
Source: RNAcentral
GUUCAUUCAGGAUCUGAACUCCUGUCCUUACUCUUUCACAGGAAGCGCUUAGACCACUCUGCUACUUUCUGGACCAGAUGCUGGUACUUGGCCAUCCUUCUAAAAAAAAGUAAAAGUUAAGACUGUUUAUUCUGGAAUGGAUAGAGCAGUGUUAUCCAUGACACUACUGUUGUCUAGUUUCUGAACACAGGUGAGUAUAAUUUACUGAAAAAAAAAAGUAUUGAUUGUACUUUGUACAAACCUCUAAAAUACUAAACUGCAUUAAAGAAAGCUGAUACAGAAGAUCAAGUCCCUUCUCAUUCAGUUUCUGUGGAGCAUCUAGAAAAAGCAAAUUCCCAAACACAAGCAGAUGCUGGUUACCUUGGGUUGGAGCUGGAAGUAAGAGUGAUUGCUCAUAUUGAGAUAGUUCUGUUGGUGGUGGAGUGUUCAGAGUCUGGAUUGUAGAAGAGUUCUCAGAGCUCUAUGGAUCCAUUAACAACAUUACCUUGUAUAUUUAAGAUGAAUGGAUACUUUAUUAGUCUCAUUUUGUGUGGGAGUGAUGUGUACUAGGACCUGUUCACCAGUUAGCUUCCAUUGUAAAAUUAGAGGAAUAUUUUCAUGUAAAAAUUCAGACACCCUGGGCUAAAACUAGCUUAUUAAAAUGCCCAGGUAGAUUCAUAGCAUUUGGGAUGUCCUAGUU